AUGCAGCGCCUCUCCUCUCCCUCGCGACCUCUCCUCUCCUCCGUGGCGUCUCGCUGGUGGUGGCCACCAGCACUCGCGCGACGACUCGAUCCACCUCUCCGUCGUGUUUCCUCGGAGGCUACAUGGGGCCAAGAUGUGAACCUCCAUGACAGCGAUGAAGAUCCAUCGAGCGCAACCAAGGCUCGCACGACUGAAAUCGUGAUCAAGGAGGACGAAGAAGAAGCCAGCGACUACGAGUACAACCUCGGCCACGUACUUGAAAAGAGCGGACACCGUGAUGGCUCUAUGUACAGGGCUAUCGGUUGGGGCUGGAAAAGGGAUUAUUCUCUCGGCGAUCGUAGCGAGAGGUUCCCUCAUCAACAUGGGUGGUGGCCCUAA
RNAcentral lists this ribosomal RNA (378 nucleotides) under Triticum aestivum (bread wheat). Its description in RNAcentral is "partial small subunit ribosomal RNA". The record is from RNAcentral. Lineage: Eukaryota; Viridiplantae; Streptophyta; Magnoliopsida; Poales; Poaceae.